GAUAGCAAUAUUAGGCAAUUGUAAUUUUUGUUCUUGUGUUGUGUGUUGUGGGUAAAAUUACUCUAGGGUGUUGUUCCCAUAAUAAAAUGUCGAUUAUUUCCACUAUUUAGCGAAUUUUGGCCAUAGUUUGGUACAACGCUGGACGCCCCCUAUC
Aricia agestis (brown argus) is the source of this 154-nucleotide long non-coding RNA. RefSeq lists it as uncharacterized. The record is from RefSeq and is a predicted model, not a curated record. The transcript is spliced from 3 exons. NCBI's taxonomy places the organism in Eukaryota, Metazoa, Arthropoda, Insecta, Lepidoptera, Lycaenidae.